UUCUAGCCCCUAAACAAUUUGGAACCAUGAAGUGGGUAAUAUUCAUUUCUUUCCUCUGCUUGGUACGCUUUGCUGAAUUGAAAAACCUGCCAAGAAGAUAUCGGCAUGUUGAUGAUCAUAUUAGGACCAUCAAAGUUGCCUCUAUAGUUUCAUCUGAAGAGUUUGCAGGCGCGUAAGUCUUCCAGAAAAUUCUGCUAUAAAUUGUUCAUUAGAUUCUUCUUUUUGCCUUCAGAAAGGGG
Non-coding RNA from Python bivittatus (Burmese python), 239 nucleotides. The record is from RefSeq and is a predicted model, not a curated record. Lineage: Eukaryota; Metazoa; Chordata; Lepidosauria; Squamata; Pythonidae.